RNAcentral lists this ribosomal RNA (245 nucleotides) under uncultured bacterium. Its description in RNAcentral is "partial small subunit ribosomal RNA". It matches the Rfam family "Bacterial small subunit ribosomal RNA", at positions 26 to 285 of the family's 1533-position model. The record is from RNAcentral.
AGAAUCAACGCUGGCGGCGUGCCUAACACAUGCAAGUCGAACGAGAAAGUGGAGCAAUCUAUGAGUAAAGUGGCGCACGGGUGAGUAACACGUGACUAACCUACCCUUGAGUGGGGGAUAACCUAGAGAAAUCUGGGCUAAUACCGCAUAAUACCUUCGGGUCAAAGGAGCAAUUCGCUUAAGGAGGGGGUCGCGGCCGAUUAGUUAGUUGGCGGGGUAAUGGCCCACCAAGACAGUGAUCUGUA